UGGGGAAUAUUGGACAAUGGGCGAAAGCCUGAUCCAGCCAUGCCGCGUGUGUGAAGAAGGUCUUCGGAUUGUAAAGCACUUUAAGUUGGGAGGAAGGGCAGUAAGCAAAUACCUUGCUGUUUUGACGUUACCGACAGAAUAAGCACCGGCUAACUCUGUGCCAGCAGCCGCGGUAAUACAGAGGGUGCAAGCGUUAAUCGGAAUUACUGGGCGUAAAGCGCGCGUAGGUGGUUCGUUAAGUUGAAUGUGAAAGCCCCGGGCUCAACCUGGGAACUGCAUCCAAAACUGGCGAGCUAGAGUAGGGCAGAGGGUGGUGGAAUUUCCUGUGUAGCGGUGAAAUGCGUAGAUAUAGGAAGGAACACCAGUGGCGAAGUCGACCACCUGGGCUCAUACUGACACUGAGGUGCGAAAGCGUGGGGAUCAAACAGG
Molecule: ribosomal RNA, 429 nt
Filed under: Pseudomonadota bacterium
Lineage: Bacteria; Pseudomonadati; Pseudomonadota
Description: Proteobacteria bacterium partial 16S ribosomal RNA
Rfam family: Bacterial small subunit ribosomal RNA
Source: RNAcentral